GAUGAACGCUGGCGGCGUGCUUAACACAUGCAAGUCGAGCGAAGCACUUUACUUGGAUUUCUUCGGAAUGACGAGUAUUGUGACUGAGCGGCGGACGGGUGAGUAACGCGUGGGUAACCUGCCUCAUACAGGGGGAUAACAGUUAGAAAUGACUGCUAAUACCGCAUAAGACCACAGCACCGCAUGGUGCAGGGGCAAAAACUCCGGUGGUAUGAGAUGGACCCGCGUCUGAUUAGCUAGUUGGUGGGGUAACGGCCUACCAAGGCAACGAUCAGUAGCCGGCCUGAGAGGGCGGCCGGCCACAUUGGGACUGAGACACGGCCCAAACUCCUACGGGAGGCAGCAGUGGGGAAUAUUGCACAAUGGGGGAAACCCUGAUGCAGCGACGCCGCGUGAAGGAAGAAGUAUUUCGGUAUGUAAACUUCUAUCAGCAGGGAAGAAAAUGACGGUACCUGACUAAGAAGCCCCGGCUAACUACGUGCCAGCAGCCGCGGUAA
Molecule: ribosomal RNA, 497 nt
Filed under: uncultured bacterium
Lineage: Bacteria
Description: partial 16S ribosomal RNA
Rfam family: Bacterial small subunit ribosomal RNA
Source: RNAcentral